This is a long non-coding RNA of Suricata suricatta (meerkat), 1096 nucleotides long. RefSeq lists it as uncharacterized. The record is from RefSeq and is a predicted model, not a curated record. NCBI's taxonomy places the organism in Eukaryota, Metazoa, Chordata, Mammalia, Carnivora, Herpestidae. The transcript is spliced from 2 exons.
GGUGGGAGGACAUCUGAGGCCCGUGUUCCGAGGCUGCGCUGCUGGCAUCGCAUGACUUAGGAGCGCUGGGAACGUCCCUGCCACGCAAUGCGCCCAUGUGACAGAUAGCGAGAUGGCCUGAAGGUUAAACCCGCCUGGAUUAGCUGAGCUCACAUCCCGACUCGGGAUGGAAAAUAUUUUUUCUUUUGCUAAACAUAAAGGCAGCCUCCAGAUCGUUAUCCUUGUGAGCCCUGUGGCCUCUGCUGUUCCUGCUGUUAUCUCGAUGAUGAAGAUGUUUGCAGGGCACAGAAGAUGAACCACAGAGGAUUAAGUGCCGGGACUGGGGGUGGAGGGGCCUCGGGCUGUCAGCCAAGUGAAGUGAUCAUCUCACAGCAUGCGGGCCUAGCGGGUCCUUAUCAGGAAGGUCCACGGCUACAGCGCCGGUUUGAAAACACGGACCCGAGGUUCUUUGCCGCUCCUCCUGCUGCGUCCGGGCUCCACGCGCCAAACCGAGGUGCUCUCUGUCCAGGCCUGCCCACUGCCCAUCCCGGGAACCAGGCCACGAGGAAGCCGUGCCCCCUGGGGACGCCUUGGGGACGCCACUGUGGGGGCGGGGCCUGUAGCUGAUGCCAGGCGAGCGGGGCUGGCCCGUGCCCACCCAGCCCGGUCCCUGCUGGGCAGCAGUGAGCUCCUCCGGUGCAUUUGAAGGCACUGGGUUUGGGGACGCUUGGAACACGCCAUAGGCAACAGGAACUACUGUUUCAGGGUACUGUUAGGAUCCGUCGCCACACGGGCUGUCCACACCCUCGCGUGUCUGUGUCUGCUGGAACUUUCCUACUCCGAGGGGCACAGUCUCCGCAGUGAUCAUACCGAACCUGCUUUGCCCGCAUUUCCAAUAGCUCUCGCUUUACCGAGUUCUCAUGCUGCUUGACGUCAGAGCCAACAGCCCCCUCUCCUCCAGAAGCGGCUCGUCUGGGCGCAGACGCGGACGCUGCGCCUGCGCGCCCUCGCUCAGCCAGCCUUGCCCUCCCUUUGUUUCCCAAUGUCUGUUGUUAUUUUCCUUUAUUGACUUCCUCUGACAAAAUAUCUGUUAAAAAUAAAAUCAAAACCCUUCUGA